GGCCCAGCGGGCCCUUUUUGGAAGAGUUUGAUCCUGGCUCAGAUUGAACGCUGGCGGCAGGCCUAACACAUGCAAGUCGAACGGUAGCACAGAGAGCUUGCUCUCGGGUGACGAGUGGCGGACGGGUGAGUAAUGUCUGGGAAACUGCCUGAUGGAGGGGGAUAACUACUGGAAACGGUAGCUAAUACCGCAUAAUGUCGCAAGACCAAAGAGGGGGACCUUCGGGCCUCUUGCCAUCAGAUGUGCCCAGAUGGGAUUAGCUAGUAGGUGGGGUAAUGGCUCACCUAGGCGACGAUCCCUAGCUGGUCUGAGAGGAUGACCAGCCACACUGGAACUGAGACACGGUCCAGACUCCUACGGGAGGCAGCAGUGGGGAAUAUUGCACAAUGGGCGCAAGCCUGAUGCAGCCAUGCCGCGUGUAUGAAGAAGGCCUUCGGGUUGUAAAGUACUUUCAGCGGGG
Molecule: ribosomal RNA, 460 nt
Filed under: Pantoea sp. BAB1484
Lineage: Bacteria; Pseudomonadati; Pseudomonadota; Gammaproteobacteria; Enterobacterales; Erwiniaceae
Description: bacterial SSU rRNA
Rfam family: Bacterial small subunit ribosomal RNA
Source: RNAcentral